RNAcentral lists this ribosomal RNA (253 nucleotides) under uncultured bacterium. Its description in RNAcentral is "partial 16S ribosomal RNA". It matches the Rfam family "Bacterial small subunit ribosomal RNA", at positions 524 to 776 of the family's 1533-position model. The record is from RNAcentral.
AACGUAGGAGACGAACGUUAUCCGGAGUUACUGGGCGUAAAGGGCGUGUAGGCGGUUUGUUAAGUCUGGCGUGAAAGCUCUCGGCUAAACCGGGAGAGGUCGUUGGAUACUGGCGAACUAGAGGAUGGUAGAGGCGUGUGGAAUUCCGGGUGUAGUGGUGAAAUGCGUAGAGAUCCGGAGGAGCACCAGUGGCGAAGGCGACACGCUGGGCCAUACCUGACGCUAAAGCGCGACAGCAUGGGGAGCAAACGGG